UCAAGUAAUUAAGUGCAUGUGGUGGAUGCCUUGGCAGUCAGAGGCGAUGAAAGACGUGAUAGCCUGCGAAAAGCUCCGGGGAGGCGGCAAAUAUCCUUUGAUCCGGAGAUGUCUGAAUGGGGGAACCCACCUACUUUAAGGUAGGUAUUGCAACAUGAAUACAUAGUGUUGCAAGGCGAACGAGGGGAAGUGAAACAUCUCAGUACCCUUAGGAAAAGAAAUCAAUUGAGAUUCCCUCAGUAGCGGCGAGCGAACGGGGAUCAGCCCAUUAAGUUAUGUGUGUUUUAGUGGAACGCUCUGGGAAGUGCGAACGUAGAGGGUGAUAUUCCCGUACACGAAAGGGCACACAUAAUGAUGACGAGUAGGGCGAGGCACGUGAAACCUUGUCUGAAUAUGGGGGGACCAUCCUCCAAGGCUAAAUACUCCUGACUGACCGAUAGUGAACCAGUACCGUGAGGGAAAGGCGAAAAGAACCCCUGUGAGGGGAGUGAAAUAGAUCCUGAAACCGCAUGCAUACAAGCAGUGGGAGCACCUUCGUGGUGUGACUGCGUACCUUUUGUAUAAUGGGUCAGCGACUUAUAUUCAGUAGCGAGGUUAACCGUAUAGGGGAGCCGUAGAGAAAUCGAGUCUUAAUAGGGCGUUUAGUUGCUGGGUAUAGACCCGAAACCAGGCGAUCUAUCCAUGAGCAGGUUGAAGGUUGGGUAACACUAACUGGAGGACCGAACCCACUGUCGUUGAAAAGCCAGGGGAUGACUUGUGGAUAGGGGUGAAAGGCUAAUCAAGCCUGGUGAUAGCUGGUUCUCCCCGAAAGCUAUUUAGGUAGCGCCUCGGACGAAUACCAUAGGGGGUAGAGCACUGUUUCGGCUAGGGGGUCAUCCCGACUUACCAAACCGAUGCAAACUCCGAAUACCUAUGAGUACUAUCCGGGAGACAGACUGCGGGUGCUAACGUCCGUAGUCAAGAGGAAAACAAUCCAGACCGCCAGCUAAGGCCCCAAAAUCAUAGUUAAGUGGGAAACGAUGUGGGAAGGCAUAGACAGCUAGGAGGUUGGCUUAGAAGCAGCCACCCUUUAAAGAAAGCGUAAUAGCUCACUAGUCGAGUCGGCCUGCGCGGAAGAUGUAACGGGGCUAAAACUAUGUGCCGAAGCUGCGGAUGUAUACUUUGUAUACGUGGUAGGGGAGCGUUCUGUAAGCCGAUGAAGGUGUGUUGAGAAGCAUGCUGGAGGUAUCAGAAGUGCGAAUGCUGACGUGAGUAACGACAAAACGGGUGAAAAACCCGUUCGCCGAAAGACCAAGGGUUCCAGUCCAACGUUAAUCGGGGCUGGGUGAGUCGACCCCUAAGGCGAGGCCGAAAGGCGUAGUCGAUGGGAAAAUGGUUAAUAUUCCAUUACUUCUGUGUAAUGCGAUGAGAGGACGGAGAAGGCUAAAUCAGCCUGGCGUUGGUUGUCCAGGUGAAAGGAUGUAGGCAUGUAUCUUAGGCAAAUCCGGGGUACUCUAUGCUGAGAUCUGAUAGCAAGCUGUACUUGUACAGCGAAGUGGUUGAUGCCAUGCUUCCAGGAAAAGUCUCUAAGCUUCAGUUACACAGGAAUCGUACCCGAAACCGACACAGGUGGUCAGGUCGAGUAGACCAAGGCGCUUGAGAGAACUCUGCUGAAGGAACUAGGCAAAAUGGUACCGUAACUUCGGGAGAAGGUACGCUGUUGUUGGUGAUGGAACUCGCUUCCUGAGCUGACGACAGCCGCAGAAACCAGGCCGCUGCAACUGUUUAUUAAAAACAUAGCACUCUGCAAACACGAAAGUGGACGUAUAGGGUGUGAUGCCUGCCCGGUGCUGGAAGGUUAAUUGAUGGGGUUAGCGUAAGCGAAGCUCUUGAUCGAAGCCCCAGUAAACGGCGGCCGUAACUAUAACGGUCCUAAGGUAGCGAAAUUCCUUGUCGGGUAAGUUCCGACCUGCACGAAUGGCAUAAUGAUGGCGGCGCUGUCUCCAGCAGAGGCUCAGUGAAAUCGAAAUCGCUGUGAAGAUGCAGUGUACCCGCGGCUAGACGGAAAGACCCCGUGAACCUUUACUGCAGCUUGACACUGAACUUUGACCUUACUUGUGUAGGAUAGGUGGGAGGCUUUGAAGCUGGAACGCUAGUUCCAGUGGAGCCGUCCUUGAAAUACCACCCUGGUAAUGUUGAGGUUCUAACUCUGUCCCGUGAUCCGGGACGAGGACCGUGUCUGGUGGGUAGUUUGACUGGGGCGGUCUCCUCCUAAAGAGUAACGGAGGAGUACGAAGGUGCGCUCAGCGUGGUCGGAAAUCACGCGUAGAGUAUAAAGGCAAAAGCGCGCUUAACUGCGAGACCCACAAGUCGAGCAGGUACGAAAGUAGGUCUUAGUGAUCCGGUGGUUCUGUAUGGAAGGGCCAUCGCUCAACGGAUAAAAGGUACUCUGGGGAUAACAGGCUGAUACCGCCCAAGAGUUCAUAUCGACGGCGGUGUUUGGCACCUCGAUGUCGGCUCAUCUCAUCCUGGGGCUGAAGCAGGUCCCAAGGGUAUGGCUGUUCGCCAUUUAAAGAGGUACGCGAGCUGGGUUUAGAACGUCGUGAGACAGUUCGGUCCCUAUCUACCGUGGGCGCUGGAAAUUUGAGAGGAUCUGCUCCUAGUACGAGAGGACCAGAGUGGACGAACCUCUGGUGUACCGGUUGUGACGCCAGUCGCAUCGCCGGGUAGCUAUGUUCGGAAGGGAUAACCGCUGAAAGCAUCUAAGCGGGAAGCCUACCUCAAGAUAAGAUUUCCCUAGGACUUUAUGUCCUCUAAAGAGCCGUUCGAGACUAGGACGUUGAUAGGUUGGAUGUGGAAGCAUAGUGAUAUGUGAAGCUGACCAAUACUAAUUGCAAUUGAGGCUUGACUAU
This 2891-nucleotide ribosomal RNA is filed under the name Acinetobacter baumannii 951631. RNAcentral describes it as "bacterial LSU rRNA". It matches the Rfam family "Bacterial large subunit ribosomal RNA". The record is from RNAcentral. Lineage: Bacteria; Pseudomonadati; Pseudomonadota; Gammaproteobacteria; Moraxellales; Moraxellaceae.